AUGGAAGGGCAAGGGGAAUUUAAGCCUGGUGAGACCAAGGAUGGGAGGCCCUGCUUGGUUUGCACGGUUAAAUUCACGCUUGUUGUCCCGGAUGACGACGACGUUGAUAGAUGGAUCCUGGAUAAGACAUUACCGAUGCAGGAUGCGAUCACUCUGCACGAUGAUUGUGCUCUCAAUGUUGUGGCGAUUAUCGGUGGUUUGGUGUAUUUUUCUACUUCUUGUGAGACGCAUUCGAAUUCUUGCUUUUUCAUGUCCUUCUGCCUUGAAACAGAGGAGCUGAAUAAGCUCUGCCCUGUCACUCCCUACCCUAUUCGUUCCUAUCCGUACAUCAUGGCGUUCCCUCCUUCAUUGAUAUGUAAUAAGGUGAACCCUCAACCUGAAGGAGCUUGA
RNAcentral lists this ribosomal RNA (390 nucleotides) under Triticum aestivum (bread wheat). Its description in RNAcentral is "partial small subunit ribosomal RNA". The record is from RNAcentral. Lineage: Eukaryota; Viridiplantae; Streptophyta; Magnoliopsida; Poales; Poaceae.